Molecule: non-coding RNA, 72 nt
Organism: Pangasianodon gigas (Mekong giant catfish)
Lineage: Eukaryota; Metazoa; Chordata; Actinopteri; Siluriformes; Pangasiidae
Source: the annotation of a GenBank genome assembly
GCUAUAAGGUUAUUUUCAUUUACUCUUCUUACUGUCAGUAACUUGAUCACUGCAACCUAUAAUUAGAAUAAC